Molecule: ribosomal RNA, 253 nt
Filed under: uncultured bacterium
Lineage: Bacteria
Description: partial 16S ribosomal RNA
Rfam family: Bacterial small subunit ribosomal RNA
Source: RNAcentral
GACGGAGGAUGCGAGCGUUAUCCGGAAUGAUUGGGCGUAAAGGGUCCGCAGGUGGCCCGGUCAGUCCGCUGUCAAAACCUGGGGCUCAACCCUGGAGAGGCGGCGGAGACCACCGGGCUUGAGUCCGGUAGGGGCAGAGGGAAUUCCCGGUGGAGCGGUGAAAUGCGUAGAGAUCGGCAGGAAGACCAAGGGGGAAGCCAGGCACCUGGGCCCGUACUGACACUCAUGGACGACCGCGUGGGGAGCGAACCGG